Long non-coding RNA from Salvia miltiorrhiza (redroot sage), 658 nucleotides. RefSeq lists it as uncharacterized. Lineage: Eukaryota; Viridiplantae; Streptophyta; Magnoliopsida; Lamiales; Lamiaceae. The transcript has 3 exons. The record is from RefSeq and is a predicted model, not a curated record.
AAUGCCCAAUAUUCACUAAGAUUACAAAUCUUUCAUAAGAUUUCCAAAUCCAUUUCAUAUCUUGCAAAUUUCUCUCUCUCCUUUCCUCCCUAACUUUCGACCACCACCUCUCUCCCUUCUCUCUCACAUUUCCACCAUUGUCAACCAUAGAUGUGACCUCCGAAGCUUCACAAAACUAUGCCAAACACAUAAAUCACAAUCAAAAUCUUACCUAAACACCUCCUAUCAACUUGAAUCCAAGGAGAACCUUGAAGAUUGGCUUCAAGACUAGAGAGAGAAAGUUUGAUAUUUGGUGUAAACUUGGGCCCGAGCGAGACGAAGAAGUAAGUUGCCUGAUUUCUUUCCAGGAUUAGCAAAGGACUUCAGACUAAGCGAGGAGCGAGAUUGGUCUGGUGCUGGUGGGGAAUUGCUGAAGGAUGUAUUUACUUUAUCGUAUUUCCAUUUUGACGAUAAAGUCUUGAUGAUUGAUAUACUUUGAUUUUCUUUUGAAUUUAAGCAAUGUACUCACGGUUAUAUGUCUUCAUACAUAUAAUCGGUUCGCCUUUUGCUGCGAUACUCUGCAUAUUAUGAUUCCUUACGAAAAAUGAGCGAUACCUGUUUUGUUUUUGUUCGUGAAAUUCCUGAUAAUUAAAAAGUUAUAACGACAUUGACGAUUUUA